AGCGUAGACGGUGUGGCAAGUCUGAUGUGAAAGGCAUGGGCUCAACCCGUGGACUGCAUUGGAAACUGUCAUACUUGAGUGCCGGAGGGGUAAGCGGAAUUCCUAGUGUAGCGGUGAAAUGCGUAGAUAUAUGGAAGAACACCAGUGGCGAAGGCGGCUUUCUGGACUGUAACUGACGUUGAGGCUGAAAGUGUGGGUAGCAAACA
RNAcentral lists this ribosomal RNA (206 nucleotides) under uncultured bacterium. Its description in RNAcentral is "partial 16S ribosomal RNA". It matches the Rfam family "Bacterial small subunit ribosomal RNA", at positions 568 to 774 of the family's 1533-position model. The record is from RNAcentral.